This 24-nucleotide non-coding RNA is filed under the name Arabidopsis thaliana (thale cress). The record is from RNAcentral. Lineage: Eukaryota; Viridiplantae; Streptophyta; Magnoliopsida; Brassicales; Brassicaceae.
AGGGUUGGUAUAUGGAUCAUUAUU